AUGACUAGGAGGUGCACAUCUAAAUCCGAAGUGACAACAAGAAGUAAUCAAGAUAAUCGUCGUUUUGGUGGCUCCAAAACCCAUGAAGUAUCUAUGCUUUGGUUGCAAAAAUUCUCACCUGGUGACCUUAAAGGAUCUGCUACUACUUAAUUGUUUCCUCUACGUGGAUGCACCUCCAUAAAUCCUCCCCUGACACCUCUGUAAGGAAAUUAUCUUAUUAAGUUGAGAUUCUUGACCAAAUCUCUCUUUUUUGUUAUUGGUGUUAUGUUAGUGACCAAAGCAAUGAAUUGAAAUUAGCUGAGUAGCAUUUCUCACUAGAUUUGGUCUUUGGGAAACUGCAUUGAUGAG
Molecule: long non-coding RNA, 348 nt
Filed under: Struthio camelus australis
Lineage: Eukaryota; Metazoa; Chordata; Aves; Struthioniformes; Struthionidae
Description: lncRNA (ENSSCUG00000014596.1)
Source: RNAcentral